CUACGUGCCAGCAGCCGCGGUAAUACGGAAGGUCCGGGCGUUAUCCGGAUUUAUUGGGUUUAAAGGGAGCGUAGGCUGGAGAUUAAGUGUGUUGUGAAAUGUAGACGCUCAACGUCUGAAUUGCAGCGCAUACUGGUUUCCUUGAGUACGCACAACGUUGGCGGAAUUCGUCGUGUAGCGGUGAAAUGCUUAGAUAUGACGAAGAACUCCGAUUGCGAAGGCAGCUGACGGGAGCGCAACUGACGCUUAAGCUCGAAGGUGCGGGUAUCRAACAGGAUUAGAUACCCUGGUAGUCCGCACAGUAAACGAUGAAUACUCGCAGUAUGCGAUAUAGUGUAUGCUGCCAAGUGAAAACGUUAAGCAUCCCACCUGGGGAGUACGCCGGCAACGGUGAAACUCAAAGGAAUUGACGGGGGCCCGCACAAGCGGAGGAACAUGUGGUUUAAUUCGAUGAUACGCGAGGAACCUUACCCGGGCU
Molecule: ribosomal RNA, 478 nt
Filed under: uncultured bacterium
Lineage: Bacteria
Description: bacterial SSU rRNA
Rfam family: Bacterial small subunit ribosomal RNA
Source: RNAcentral